UCCUAAGUUAAUAAUGUCAAAAUCGAAUAGAAAUCGAAGCGCAAUUAAUGUCCGACCGAACUUUCGGUUUCGGUUUCGGUUUCGGCCAAAAAUCAACUUUCGGCUGCAGUUUCGUUUUCGGCCAAAAUCGGCCGAAACUUUUGCCGAAACCGAAACUUAUCUCGCAAGGUCACGCACAUUCGCCCAACUUCGUUUUCCGCGGCAAAGCUGUGUCGUAAGCCGUCGGCUCUGUUCGGGAAUCAUCGUGUGCCGUUCGGAUAGCUCCGUAGUAAUGCAAUAAAACUUAGUCAGUGCGUGUGCGUCCGACGGAAACAUUAUUUGGAGGUUAUGUUUUGAUGGAACUGAUAACAUAGUAAAAUAUCACAACGAGAAAAAAAUCCGAUUAGGCAGUACUUUGAUAAAAGUAUCAGUGAUACAUCAAAAGCUGUUUGCAAGAUAUGUAACAAGUGCUAUUCAUUAGGAAACUACGAAGCAAAAAAAACAAACAUCACAUGGACUGAAGUUGCAUUUAUCAAAAUUUCAUGACCAGGAAUACAGGCAAGUACAAAAACGUGUCUCAGAAUUGAAUGAUUUCAAAAGUGAAGCAAAAUUGAAGCGAACAGACUCGAGUGCAUCGUUGAAAUGUAAAUGGUAAAAAUGUUAUUAAGAUUUUUUAAUAUUGUAUUAAAUAAAUGAUUACAAUACAACAAACUGAAUUAA
Helicoverpa zea (corn earworm) is the source of this 699-nucleotide long non-coding RNA. RefSeq lists it as uncharacterized. NCBI's taxonomy places the organism in Eukaryota, Metazoa, Arthropoda, Insecta, Lepidoptera, Noctuidae. The transcript is spliced from 2 exons. The record is from RefSeq and is a predicted model, not a curated record.